Molecule: ribosomal RNA, 201 nt
Filed under: uncultured bacterium
Lineage: Bacteria
Description: partial 16S ribosomal RNA
Rfam family: Bacterial small subunit ribosomal RNA
Source: RNAcentral
GACAGAGGGUGCAAACGUUGCUCGGAAUCACUGGGCGUAAAGGGCGUGUAGGCGGGCAGGUAAGUCGGGCGUGAAAUCCCUGGGCUCAACCCCAGGAACUGCACUCGAAACUACUUGUCUUGAGUGUCGGAGAGGAAAGCGGAAUUCCUGGUGUAGAGGUGAAAUUCGUAGAUAUCAGGAGGAACACCAGUGGCGAAGGCG